RNAcentral lists this unclassified non-coding RNA (1162 nucleotides) under Hevea brasiliensis (rubber tree). Lineage: Eukaryota; Viridiplantae; Streptophyta; Magnoliopsida; Malpighiales; Euphorbiaceae. The record is from RNAcentral.
CCCAUAGAAAGAGUAACAGUCAAACAACUCAGAAGCCAAAGGGACAUGGGGGAUACCAUAGUACUAGUUAAACUGUACUUCCAGUUGCCCUGAAGUUUGACACAGCAUCUAAGAGAUGAUGAGAUGCUUUCUCGAAAUUAACGAAGCCCAUGAACCAGAAAUCAUGACCAUCAAUAGUAACCAUCUGAAUGUACUUUUCUGGUGGGUUUUCUUUCACGACAACCGGGUUAACUUGGCCUAUUUUGUUCAGUGGUAUCAUCACCUUGUAGUAGCACCAAGUCUCCUGCCCUGAUGGAGCCAUAAAGGAAAGGGGACGGUCACUGCAGAAGGCUACCCGAGCAGUCGAUAGAUAGAGGGUUCCAGCAACAGGGCCAGUGGAUGUGGAAAGGUAACAAGCGAAAGUCUUCUUCAGCUUCUCGUUCAGGUGAGUUUCAAAAACCUGCUUGAAGAGAGACUCAAAGCCACCUUCUGUGAUUGCUUUCGCUGUCAAGUUGACCUUACCCCAAGCAGUUUCAGACACUGAAGGCCCCGUUGUAAGAUUGUGCCAUAUAUUCCGGGCUAUGUUCUCCGCCUUCCUGCUCCAGGUAUUGAAGGCUUGGAUCACCGGCUCAAAAGGAUUGUUGCUUGGCUUCUCUACAGGGGAAUACACAAGAUAAGGCUGCUGAUAGAUUUGCUGGUGGUCAGCGGCGUUCCAUGAGGCUGCUUUUUGGUUGUCAGGGUGGAGAGUAGGGGCUGCCGGUGAUCCCAUGACAUGGGUGCCCCAUUUCUCGGCUUCCUGCUUUGAUGGGGGUUGAUGAGGCUGUGAGGGCUCAUGGGAUUCUGCUAUUUGUGUUUCUUGUGAAGUGGUUGCCAUGGUUUGCUCAAUUUUUUGAGAUGCAAAACACAGAAUUGGCAGUUCCUUUGAAUAAGCACUGUUUAUAUUUUGAUUUUGAUUAGUUAUUAGAAGAUGAUGGCUUAUUAAUCCACCUAAUCCACUGAUAAAGGUUGUCGUAUACACGGAAAAAUUAUUUUCUUCGCUAUGAAGAAAUAAUUAUUAUACAAAUAUGGAAAGCUCACUUACCUUCGAGAUUUGGCACUUCAUCCUUAGGCAGUAGCCACAUGGUCUUAACGAGAAAAUGCAAUUUAAAAUGGCCUUCGGCUGGUUGACUGGCUGAUGUUAUCU